Long non-coding RNA from Drosophila innubila, 271 nucleotides. RefSeq lists it as uncharacterized. The record is from RefSeq and is a predicted model, not a curated record. The transcript is spliced from 2 exons. Lineage: Eukaryota; Metazoa; Arthropoda; Insecta; Diptera; Drosophilidae.
CAAUUCCCACUGAAAAGCCGAAGACGACGGCAGCAGGAAUCGGUCAGCCAACAUUCGGGAUUCGAUUGACGCCUUUAUUUUUAUCUGCUGCAUUUUUGACUUGCUGCCGGUUAAGAUACACACACACACUUGCACACACAAACUUACACACACACACACACAUGUAUUGAUGAAAGGAUGCUCAACAAUUAUGCAACGCUAGCGACAUCUAACGGCGACACUAGUCAACACUAAUCAAGCAGCAAAUAAAGCUUAAUACAAACUAAUCAAA